Crotalus tigris (Tiger rattlesnake) is the source of this 5718-nucleotide RNA transcript. It is a transcript of the gene named adrenoceptor alpha 2A, with no coding region annotated. Lineage: Eukaryota; Metazoa; Chordata; Lepidosauria; Squamata; Viperidae. The record is from RefSeq and is a predicted model, not a curated record. The transcript has 2 exons.
GCGAGGGGACGUCUGCUUUCGGGAAAAGACCGUAAAGGAGCCUCAGGCAACCGGUUGAAACGCUACUCUCCGCCGGAGGAGCGGCGACAAGACAGAGGCGGGGAAAAAGCGCCGGGGGCUAUCCCCACGUGGCGCUGACGCGGAGCCACUGAACCGCCGAGCCGAUCGGGGGCUAUAAAGUGAAUCGGGAGCCCGGAAGGCUGAGCUUCAGCAGAGAGCGAGCACUGCCUUCCCGGCUGAGGAGAAUUUCUAUACCAUUUUAAACCCUGAGCUACGAACGCUCUCCCUUUAGUGGUAGUUGGUUAUACCGGCGCCGGCGGCGGCCGGUUUAGCGUGUUUGGCGGAGCCCCUCGACUGGCUUGUCUUUCCUCCCGCGGCUUAGCAAGACCAGCGCCCUUCGUAGCCCCCAUGCAGGAUCUGCUCCACCGAGAAAAACGAGUCUCCCUCUCCGCCGCCCGCCUCCCGCGGAGAUCUCCUUUCGCGGGGAGAAGGUAAGAAGCAACUUUUGACUCCCGCUCCGCCUGCUGCGAAUGGUCUCUUGAAGGAGCCCCUCCGGCCUUGGCUGGACUUUUGAGGGCGAUCUGGGGGAGUGGGGCUAGCAAGGAAGGAGAGACCUGCUCGCCCUGGCGGUCUGCUAUGACUGAAACGGAGGCGGGGGGCAGUUAUGGAAGCUGAGCCAAGCCGCUUCUCUUGCUCCUGAUUGGAAUCAGAGCUUUCGGGGGCUUCCGGUGCCUGCAGAAAGGAUCAGCCCCGCCGGAGACAGGUGCGGGAUCUCCUCCUCCUCGCAGGGUGUGCCUGUCUCAAGUGACGUCCAUGAAGCUGGGUUCAUGUUGAAGCUGAAGAGCCCGUACCCAGAGCAAGGGGGAUUCGCUUCCCUGGCCCACGUGCCCUCUUUCCAGCUGGAGCACAGCUACCCACAGCACAUGGAUGGCAAUGGGAGUUUGAAUGGAAGUGAUGGCGGGCAGAAAGAGGGCCUUCCUUACCCCUUGCCCACUACCUUAGCCCUCAUCUUCCUGGCCACGCUGCUGAUGCUCUUCACCAUUUUUGGCAACGUAUUAGUUAUCAUUGCUGUCUUCACCAGCCGGAUGCUGAGGGCCCCUCAGAACCUCUUUUUGGUUUCCUUGGCCUCAGCAGACAUCCUGGUGGCCACCUUGGUCAUUCCAUUUUCUCUUGCCAACGAGGUGAUGGGCCAGUGGUAUUUUGGCAAGGUAUGGUGUGAAAUCUACCUGGCUUUGGAUGUACUCUUCUGCACCUCUUCCAUUGUGCAUCUCUGUGCCAUCAGCUUGGAUCGCUACUGGUCCAUUACGCAGGCCAUUGAGUACAACCUCAAGCGCACACCACGCCGCAUCAAAAGCAUCAUCUUUCUGGUUUGGAUCAUCUCAGCUGUCAUCUCUUUCCCACCGCUUAUCUCCAUUAUGAAGCAGGGUGAGCCUGAGAGUCAGCUCCAUGAACAAACAGAAUUGAAACCUGAGAACAAGUUGCCAAGCUGCAGUAUCAACAAGGAAACCUGGUACAUCAUCUGUUCUAGCAUUGGCUCCUUCUUUGCUCCCUGCCUUAUCAUGAUCCUGGUCUACAUCCGUAUCUACCAGAUUGCAAAAAGGAGGUCUCGAGUGCCUCUCAACAAGCGAGGGGAGACUGUAGAGAGGAGACAGAAUGGAUUGGAUGACAAAGACGAUAUGCCUGCAAUAACCAAGCUCAAUGGGGGGAAGAUAGCAUUGGCAGGAAGGAGCCAGGAAGCAGAAGUCAAUGGUAUAGACCUGGAGGACACGUCUUCUUCAGAGCAGAAUGACACCCCUCAGCCUAGGAAAGCAGAAAGGCUCCCCAGAAAUAAGGGCAAAACCAAACUCUGCCAAAUUAAGCCUGGGGACAAUUUGCCUAACCAAGUAGAAGAGGAUAGGAAUGCCAAAGCUUCACGAUGGAGAGGUAGACAAAACCGAGAAAAGCGCUUCACCUUCGUACUUGCAGUAGUGAUUGGAGUUUUUGUUGUCUGCUGGUUUCCUUUCUUCUUCACUUAUACAUUGACUGCUGUUUGUAACAGCUGCCAUGUUCCUGAGACCCUCUUCAAGUUCUUCUUCUGGUUUGGUUAUUGCAACAGUUCCCUGAAUCCUGUCAUCUAUACUAUCUUCAACCAUGAUUUUAGGAGGUCCUUUAAAAAGAUUCUCUGCAAAAUAGACCGGAAAAGAAUUGGGUGAAGCAGGGAUCUGUUUGCAAGGCAAGUCUUAGGUUCAGCUCUGGCGGGAUAUUGGAAGUGGGUGGCACCUUGUCUGAUUACUGAGCAUUGACUCUUCAAAGGCUUCAGCACAUUGAAAUGAACAAAUGAGGGUGAGAAAGGAAAUUGUAAGUCAUAUCUUUCAGAAGCACUUUCUAUUUUCCAUCUAAGGUCCCUGAUGUUGUUAUGACAUUGCGUCUUUGAGAUCUGUGCAUCUUUAACUUUUAUAGGAGAAAUUAGCUUUAAACUGUUUUAAAUAUUUCUUGAGAUGCAUUGUAUAUGAAAAGCAAAAGAAAGACAGACAUUUGAGUGGACCUCUGCUGCCAUCUCAUCAAUUUAAAAUAUAAUAUUAAAUUCCAAAAUUUCCAAUAUGGUUCUGGAUGUUGAGAUAUAACAACUGGUAAUGUAAGCUUUGACACAAUGGCCAGUGUUUUAUUGUAUUCACUAUUUGUAUUUGUUUUUUCAAACAAAAUCAUGUUUGUCUUGUCUUUUUUAAAUGCAGUAUUGUUAAAAGACUGUAUCUCUUAUUCUGUACCAAUUGAGAGAAUCAAAUACGAAGGAUUUCACUUAGAAAAGGAGCUGUCAAAAAAGCUUUCUAAGACCUCAGAGGUUUAAGAUAAAGUAUUCUUUCUUUGUGAUCCUUUCAUUGAGAUAUGUUCAAUGAAACUUACUUCUUUCUCUAGUUGUAAAUAGAUACCAUAGAUGAAAUUCUCUGUUUACAGUGUUAUUUGAUUUACAGUUUUUACAUUUUUAUUUGUGCUAGCUCUCCUGUACAAAAAACAUAUUUUCAUGUACAAGUUCAUUUUUCCCUUUUUAUCUAAUAUGAAACCAUACAAAUCUUUUUUUCCAACUACAAAAUUGGAUUAUAGAACUCUUUUGAUUAGUCAUAUAGUGUAUGUUAUAAAUGAAUAUAAAGGAGAAAGAAAAUGAAUAGAAUAAUUGUAACAUGUAAAAAAUAAUGUUGGCAUAGGAAGAAAUAUCUUUGUUAACUAUCUUUUUUAUUUGUUUUCCCAGAAAUACGUAUUGCAAGUUAACUUCCUCAGCUCAUCAAAUAAAUAUACUGAGUAUUAUUAAAAGGGAAAUGGAAAACAUCAGAAUUUUAUUUUCAACAUUAUGACAUUUUCAAUUACAUUUACAAUCUGAUUAAGUACUUUGUAGCUGAUGAUGCUGGAAAAGCUCUUCCUUUUAAAGCUGUAAAGUUGAUUUAUUCUUGCUUUUUGUGCAAGUUUUUAUAUGGAUGACAGGACCUUCUUUAAAAAAAAAUGCCACCCUACUCUAUGGGACAUUAUGGAUAUUCAGUCUUCAGACUCGUAUGCCUUCACUUUGUAAGGAUACAUAUCCAAUCUGUUAAAUAAAAAAAUGAAUCUGACACUGCUAUUCAGCUAAAACUAGAAUGCUAAUAAUAGAGAAGGGAAAAGGAAAUAAUUUAUUAGCAACAAAUAUAUUACUUGUCUAAAAGCUCAUUUUUUUAAAAAAAAAUUGAGUUAAUUACAAAUGUUUGCAUAAAGCGUUUUUAACCUAGAUUUUAAAAUUUCUUUUUUUAAAGACUCAUUUUCCAGUUCAAGGAAUUCAUACUAUUUAUAUGGAGUUGUUUCUAAAAUGUGUAUUAGUAUCCAAGGGCUCAAACAAUGGGGGGUUUGAUGGGGACAUGGGGAUGUAUACACCAGCACACAGUCAAAAAUAAUGCUGCCAUUAUAAGUCUGUUGCAAAGGUAUUGCAAUUUAGCAGGAUUGAGGCCAGGCCUUAUAUAUGAAUCUGGCAGCUGGGUAAUAUACAGUUUUUCCUUGCAUUCAGUUUAAUAUGAGAGAGCACUCUGUCACUUUUUCCCUGUUGCAGUAAAACAAGAUAAUAAAAGUAAAAAGCCUGUGUGACUUCCCCUAUUUGUUGUAAUUAACUUUUGAAAUGUUGGAAUUUUAAUACCCACUGCUUACCAGAAAAAUCAGGACACAUAGAUAAGGAGUUGUUUUUUUUUGAUGAAGGUGAUCUGUCUACAUUGUGCUGUAAAUUUGUAUAUCCCCAGUUUCAUGCUUUCUUGCUAUAUUUGGGCUGAAACUUCCAGAGUUGUUAAGGAAGGCUGGGAAUUCCAUAGGAGAUAAGCCAACACAUUUGGAGACUCCAGUUUGGGGAAAGCUGAUGUAUUUCUAAUGCCUUGAAGGCUCUGUACAAGAGAUUUCAGUUAGAAACAUCGCAACCCAUUUAGCUGGCUUUACCAGACUUACAGAUUGGUCCUAUGGUUUGUAACAAGGAAUUUAACUGCUAAAUUAGUUUAUACAGUAAUCAGGUAACAGAGAUCCAAAACAACUCAUUUACAUAGGAAUUUGAGAACCAUGUUUUCAAUAUCUUUCCAAAUACUGUCUCUGCAAUUGUCUAUCCGUAAUAGGAAGAGGAAAUCUUUUGAAAUGGGUUCCUCAUGAUAUAAAAAGAACAGCUUAAAACUCAGGCUAGAUGGAAAGGCCAGAAUCAAUGGUUUAAAACUACAAGGAACUACAAGAUUAGAUGUCAGGUGAACUUUCUCACUAUAUGAGCUGUAGGUCAGUGAAGUAAGAUGCACAGAAAAUGAUAGAAUGUAGUGGAAAAAUAGGAUGGCCUUGAAGUACAAAAGGAAGAUCUUCAGAUAAAUGAAACCUGAGCCCAGGCCAAGAAAAUACUUUGAGAAAGUGUCUCAGACAGUGCUCCCCUCCAGUUAAUUCUCAUCAAGAUGAAAAAGGAAGGUAGCACAUUCCGACUUACAAGAUUCUGUUCCUAUAGCUGUUUCAAUAAAGUAGCUUAGAUCUGGAUGGUGUCUGUUUCUUAGUCAACUACCUGAUGGGGUUGACAUCAUUUCUUCUUUGCCAAAAGUCUUCAAACAGAAGCUAGAUGGCUUCUGUCAGAGAUGUUAAUCUAGAGGAUCAUAUAUGCAGCAGGGUGUUGAAUUAGAGGUGAUGUUUCAAUGACUCUUUGAAGUCUUACCGUUUUGAUAAUACAUAAAUCCAGAGAAAAUGAAAUAUACUCAAAUCUUAUUUAGCUGGCUCUGUUAAUGAAGUUCCUUGCCCACACACUGAGCUCUUAGGCAGAAAUAUGGCUUCUGUACUGCCAGUAAAAGGGGUGACCCUUUCACUCAGUUUGAUGAAUGGGAUUGGCUGUCUCCAGAAACUCAUCAGAAAGAAAACCAAAGAGCCUUCUUAUCAUCUGAAAAAUGACUUAAGGUGAAAUAAACUGUAAAUUUUAGCCUGUUGAUCCGAAAUAGCACAAGGGGAAAGUUAAUUGGCCUUGUAAAAGAUCUUGGCUUGAGGAUGUGGGUUGCAUAUUUUUAGGGUUCUGGUAUUCAACGUACUGUAUGAAACAAGUAAACAAAUGCCUUACACUGGAAAAAUAAAGUGGUUUCUGGAAUAUCUUUCUAAAUCAAAGUUGUAUCUGGUAUAACAAUCCCUGAAUACCAUGCCAUUUGACCUUUUUAAGAAAAUGUAACAUGUAAACAGAUAUAGCCAUAAUGGAUUUAUAAAUAAAUGAAUAAAAUUGACACUUCUAAA